UUUCGAAUCAUUCACAAUGGGCGAAAGCCUGAUGGUGCGACGCCGCGUGAGGGAUGAAGGUCUUCGGAUUGUAAACCUCUGUCACCGGGGAAGAAACGCUUCAAGUUAACAGCCUGAAGCCUGACUUAACCCGGAGAGGAAGCAGUGGCUAACUCUGUGCCAGCAGCCGCGGUAAUACAGAGACUGCGAGCGUUAUUCGGAUUCACUGGGCGUAAAGGGUGCGCAGGCGGCCGUGUGUGUGAGGCGUGAAAGCCCGGGGCUUAACCCCGGAAUUGCACCUCAAACUACACGGCUAGAGCAUUGGAGAGGGUAGCAGAAUUCAUGGUGUAGCAGUGAAAUGCGUAGAUAUCAUGAGGAAUACCAGAGGCGAAGGCGGCUACCUGGACAAUUGCUGACGCUCAGGCACGAAAGCGUGGGGAGCAAAAG
This 426-nucleotide ribosomal RNA is filed under the name uncultured Opitutus sp. Its description in RNAcentral is "bacterial SSU rRNA". It matches the Rfam family "Bacterial small subunit ribosomal RNA", at positions 355 to 774 of the family's 1533-position model. The record is from RNAcentral. Lineage: Bacteria; Pseudomonadati; Verrucomicrobiota; Opitutia; Opitutales; Opitutaceae.